NNNNGAUCCCGCGGCCGUGUUUUCCUGGUGGCCCGGCCGUGCCUGAGGUUUCUCCCCGAGCCGCCGCCUCUGCGGGCUCCCGGGUGCCCUUGCCCUCACGGUCCCCGGCCCUCGCCCGUCUGUGCCCUCUUCCCCGCCCGCCGCCCGCCGAUCCUCUUCUUCCCCCCGAGCGGCUCACCGGCUUCACGUCCGUUGGUGGCCCCGCCUGGGACCGAACCCGGCACCGCCUCGUGGGGCGCCGCCGCCGGCCACUGAUCGGCCCGGCGUCCGCGUCCCCCGGCGCGCGCCUUGGGGACCGGGUUGGUGGCGCCCCGCGUGGGGCCCGGUGGGCUUCCCGGAGGGUUCCGGGGGUCGGCCUGCGGCGCGUGCGGGGGAGGAGACGGUUCCGGGGGACCGGC
Molecule: long non-coding RNA, 398 nt
Filed under: Homo sapiens (human)
Lineage: Eukaryota; Metazoa; Chordata; Mammalia; Primates; Hominidae
Description: HSALNT0402760
Source: RNAcentral